Molecule: long non-coding RNA, 1192 nt
Filed under: Callithrix jacchus (white-tufted-ear marmoset)
Lineage: Eukaryota; Metazoa; Chordata; Mammalia; Primates; Cebidae
Description: lncRNA (ENSCJAG00000072798.1)
Source: RNAcentral
AAAAAUGUGUCUUGGUCUUACUAUUCAUCCAGCAACAGCUGACAAUUUGGCAGCAAUCUGUGUUAUGUUAAGACUUCCUAAUAUCCCUAUUUGUACUGCUACUUGAGGAAUCUUAUGAGAGUAAAAAGCAUGUUUUGCAGAAUACAUUAUUAAAACAAUUAUAGGGUAUACAUCUAUCAUUAAAUAAUUUUUUAUGAUGCCAUGCAUGCAUAUAAGAGGAAUAAGAAGGAGAGAAUCAAUGCCUGGGUGAAAAGUUUUAUACACGGCUGACAUUUUUUUCAUGAGUUUGAAAUACAUGCUUUUUCUCUGUGGCAGUGGUAUCAUACCUUUGCAUUGCUUUUGUACAUUUUUAAAUAACUGACACAAAUUUCAGAGAUGCAUUGUUUGCUGCCUCUCUAAAUAAGAAAAAAAUACUAUGGUAAGUAGUCUAGCAGGCAUAAAGAAUAAAAUAACUGGAUGCCACAUACAGCAAUUUAUAGUUUUAUAGUUUAUCUUUGGAUAGUUUCAGUCUUCUGUAAUUACUGGAUCUGCCUGUGGAAAAGUCUGUUAAUCUGAUGGCCAAUGUGUUUGUUCUGAGUCACUGAUUAAGGAAUACUGAUGUGAGCAUUUUGUUGUGUUUCCCUGCUAACCACAACAGCAUGUCAGAGCUGCAUCUCAGAGCUCCUUUCCUCAUCUUUGGCAUAUAUAAUCUACUUGGAGAUAACUAAAUUUUAACUAUUUUUCCAUUUUGAAAGUAGUGUGUUGGAUAUAAAGUUUAUUAUUUAGUACAGUACAAUUUUGCCUUUGUUUUCUGUCAAGGUAUAGUUUUCCCAAGUAGACAAUCUUCAACAUAAAAUUCUUUCGUUAUUCCCAGUCCAGUUAAAAAAAAACUAAAGAAUAUUCUUAUAAUAAGAAUUAUAAAGAUCUAAAUGAUAAAAAUAUCAUAAUGAUGAGUUUGUGUCGUUUGUAGGGACAUGGAUGAAUCUGGAGAACGUCAUCCUCAGCAAACUGACACAAGAACAGAAAAUGAAACACCGCAUAUUCUCACUCAUAGCUAUCCUGAUGGUCUUUUGGAUGGCACCUAGAAUCAAGAUCUCAAGACUCCACUCUGGUGUGUCUCCUACUUGACCAUUUGCAGGGAAGUUCCAACUUUUCCCCUGAAAUUGUGAUAAGGUGAAUCCAUAGAACAAACUGAUAAUAAACAGAUUAAUAG